This 396-nucleotide ribosomal RNA is filed under the name Triticum aestivum (bread wheat). Its description in RNAcentral is "partial small subunit ribosomal RNA". The record is from RNAcentral. Lineage: Eukaryota; Viridiplantae; Streptophyta; Magnoliopsida; Poales; Poaceae.
AUGACGAAGGAAAAUGCUAUUAGGAUGUUGCAUGGUGAUUAUGAGGCCGCAUAUAACAUUCUGCCCAAGAUGUUGGCAGCCAUUGCUCAUCGAAACCCGGGAAUGCGCCAUCGGAUGGAGUCAACCGACGAUGUGUUUCGCCGUGCCUUCUGGAGCUUUGGACAAUGCAUUGAGGCAUUCAAGUAUUGUCGCCCGGUCUUGUCUAUAGAUAGUACAUUCUUGACCGGCAAAUACAAGGGCACAUUGAUGGUGGCGAUGGCCCACUCUUCAAAUGAUAACGUGUUGCUGGUGGCAUUUGCCUUGGUGCCUUCGGAGCACGAUGAUAAUUGGGAGUGGUUCAUGGGGCAUGUGAGAAUCAAGGUUAUAGGCAAGCGAGAGGUAUGCAUUAUAUCAGAG